UAAGGAAUAUUGGACAAUGGGCGGGAGCCUGAUCCAGCCAUGCCGCGUGAAGGAUGAAGGCGCUCAGCGUUGUAAACUUCUUUUGGACGGGAACAAUAUCCCCGACUUGUCGGGGCUUGAGGGUACCGUCAGAAUAAGCACCGGCUAACUCCGUGCCAGCAGCCGCGGUAAUACGGAGGGUGCAAGCGUUAUCCGGAAUCACUGGGUUUAAAGGGUGCGUAGGCGGUCUUGUAAGUCAGUCGUGAAAUCGCUGGGCUCAACCCAUGCAAUUGCGAUUGAUACUGCUAGACUUGAAUGGGGUUAAGGCAGGCGGAAUGUGGCAUGUAGCGGUGAAAUGCUUAGAUAUGCCAUAGAACACCGAUUGCGAAGGCAGCCUGCUGGGCCUUUAUUGACGCUGAGG
This 400-nucleotide ribosomal RNA is filed under the name uncultured bacterium. RNAcentral describes it as "bacterial SSU rRNA". It matches the Rfam family "Bacterial small subunit ribosomal RNA", at positions 355 to 751 of the family's 1533-position model. The record is from RNAcentral.